UUUUUUUUUUUUUGGCUUGCCUAUAAUAUAUCAGUAGUAAGCUUGGUAAUUAUACCAAAGUAUUUUACCAAUGAAUUUUCAUACAGGAAGAGGGAAUCAUUAAUGACCCCACACCACAGUAGGCAGAACCUUCCUUGCCAAAGAUGAGCAAAUACUAAUCUCUGGAAAUGUGAACACAUUAUAGACCUUAAAAUUGGGGCAUUAUCUAUCCAGGUGAAUUCAGUUUCAUCAUAUGAGCCCAUAAAAGCAGAGAACUUUCCCUGGCUAGAAGCAGAAGUGGAAGGCAGAGAGAUGCAGCAGAAGAGAAUGAGAUUAGAAGUGUGAUAGCAACUCCCCCUCUGCUUUUGCUGGAAGAAGGGUCACAUGAACCUAUGAGAAGGAAUGCAGGCAGUGUGUAGAAGCAAAGAACCAUCACUACUGAUAGUCAGCAAGGACCUUAGUCCUGAAACAACAAGGAACUGCAUUUAUCCAACCACAUGGAAGAGCUUGGAAGUGGGUUUUUCCCUGGAGCUUCUGGAAAGUAAUAUAGGACAGUGACACCUGCAUUUAGUCCUUAUAAGACUUGGAGUGGAAGCCUGCGCUAAGCGGCACUGUGUCCAGACUUCUGAUCUAUGGAAUCAUGGGUAAUUAACGGGUGUUUUUUUAAAGCUACUAUGUUUGUGGGAAUUUGUUACACCAGCAAUAGGAAACUAAUACAUCCUCAUUGCUUGGAGAAAAAAGACUGAAGGAGGCAAUAAAGCAGGUGACUCCAUACCCAGCCUCCUCACUCUUGCAGGUCCUCAGAGGCAGAAGACCAGAGAAGGGGCCAUGUGCUGGAAAGGGGUGCGCCUCUGGAAGGAGGUCUUUGCACAGGAUGUUCUACCCACCUGGGUGUCAAUACGUUAUCUCUCGGUAAAGGCAACUUGGAGUUCCCGUCGUGGCGCAGUGGUUAACGAAUCCGACUAGGAACCAUGAGGUUGCGGGUUCGGUCCCUGCCCUUGCUCAGUGGGUUAACGAUCCGGCGUUGCCGUGAGCUGUGGUGUAGGUUGCAGACGCGGCUCGGAUCCCGCGUUGCUGUGGCUCUGGCGUAGGCUGGUGGCUACAGCUCCGAUUCAACCCCUAGCCUGGGAACCUCCAUAUGCUGCGGGAGCGGCCCAAGAAGUAGCAACAACAACAACAAAAGACAAAAG
RNAcentral lists this long non-coding RNA (1169 nucleotides) under Sus scrofa (pig). RNAcentral describes it as "lncRNA (ENSSSCG00000042562.1, ENSSSCG00035073707.1)". Lineage: Eukaryota; Metazoa; Chordata; Mammalia; Artiodactyla; Suidae. The record is from RNAcentral.